AUUGAGGAACUCAAAGCUCGGUUGAGGAAACUAGACGAAGCGUCGGAGAAGAAGGCGUAUGAUGAAUUAGUGAAGGAUAUUACUCCUACGAAAUCCAUGGAUGAACCUUUUUCCUCUUAUAAACAUCAAAUGGGCUUUGGUGAGUGUCUCUCUUUUGCAUCUAUUGCCAUUAUUGAAGUUGUAUUUACUACUUCCAAUUUUAUUGACAUGGUAUUGGAAUGAAAUCAUAUAACCCCAAUUAGUAUGAAUUUAGGGCAUAGUUGAUUGAUAUUGAUUGGAAUUAGAAUUGAAAUUUUAUUUAAAUAGAAGUGAGUUCAUAAAGUUAAUAUUUUGGAAAAAAUUGAACUUUCUUAUUCCAGUGAUAUAUACAACAACAACAUAUCAAAUGUAGUCCUAUAAGUGGUGUCUGGGAAGGGUAGUGUGGAAGCAACCUUACCCCUCGAAUGAUGUUCAGUUUCCCCCACUCCUAAAGCUAAGUAAUGAGCGAGAAAAACGAAUGCUAAAAGAAACUACUUACGUAGUAAUAGUAAGUAGUAGCGAGAAAAUGAAAGGUAUAAUUGCAUCAGUCCUUCCAAUCAAGCUAGCGACCAAUCAUUGCCAUAAAAGCUAGUUGUUUAGACUAUAGACUUGCAGGAUCAGGUGAUAUAUAUAUAUAUAUAUAUAUAUAUAUAUGUUUGUGUGAACACAAUUUUGAUUUAACAAGGUUUGAAAAUGUUCCAAAUAUCUAAUAAAAUAUGUUAUCCUGUUCAUAAGGGUUCUUCUAAAGCUCAAAUUCCAUUCAUUCUAAUUUAUGUAUUCGACAAUUGUUGAUUUCACAUUCUUCCUGAACAACUGGGUACCUGUGGACUUGACCUAUUUUCCUUUAGCUGAAUGUUAGACACAAUAGGGGCUUUGGAGAAAAAGUCCUUUUAACAAAUUUGAUGAGUUCUUUUUAAAACUUGUUUUUUUUUUUUGCUUUUUGCCUAUUGCUUCUGUUUUUCUGUUUGUACGCAUGUACGUUUUUGUUGUGGAAGCGAGUGUUUUCUUUUGUUUUCUCAUCUUGCUUCUUUGUAGAGUAGUGCAGCAAUUCUUGGGAGAAGUUCCAGUACCGACUGAUAUUUCAUGAGUUGAUUGAACAAUAAAAUCAAACCCAUUAAGCUGCAUCCGUAUGAAGAUAUAUCACUUGAUUUGCUAGUAUCAACUGUGAGGUUGAUACAGUUGCUGCGUCCUGAUUUGACCAUUUCUGGUCCUUUGGUGCAGGCUUACAUGUUGGGAUAGCAAUGUUCACUGGCUAUCUGAUGGGAUAUUUUGCAUUCAGGGCCUUAUUUAAUCAUAGUCCAGCAAUGAGCGCUGCUGGAGGCAUUCUUGGAUUGGUCAUUACCAUGCUUGUCGAGACACUUCUCUUUAUU
Molecule: RNA transcript, 1388 nt
Organism: Solanum pennellii
Lineage: Eukaryota; Viridiplantae; Streptophyta; Magnoliopsida; Solanales; Solanaceae
Exons: 3
Source: RefSeq, a predicted model, not a curated record